RNAcentral lists this ribosomal RNA (464 nucleotides) under Vreelandella stevensii. Its description in RNAcentral is "partial 16S ribosomal RNA". It matches the Rfam family "Bacterial small subunit ribosomal RNA", at positions 338 to 794 of the family's 1533-position model. The record is from RNAcentral. Lineage: Bacteria; Pseudomonadati; Pseudomonadota; Gammaproteobacteria; Oceanospirillales; Halomonadaceae.
CCUACGGGAGGCAGCAGUGGGGAAUAUUGGACAAUGGGCGAAAGCCUGAUCCAGCCAUGCCGCGUGUGUGAAGAAGGCCUUCGGGUUGUAAAGCACUUUCAGUGGGGAAGAAAGCCUUGGGGCUAAUACCCUCGAGGAAGGACAUCACCCACAGAAGAAGCACCGGCUAACUCCGUGCCAGCAGCCGCGGUAAUACGGAGGGUGCGAGCGUUAAUCGGAAUUACUGGGCGUAAAGCGCGCGUAGGCGGUCUGAUAAGCCGGUUGUGAAAGCCCCGGGCUCAACCUGGGAACGGCAUCCGGAACUGUCAGGCUAGAGUGCAGGAGAGGAAGGUAGAAUUCCCGGUGUAGCGGUGAAAUGCGUAGAGAUCGGGAGGAAUACCAGUGGCGAAGGCGGCCUUCUGGACUGACACUGACGCUGAGGUGCGAAAGCGUGGGUAGCAAACAGGAUUAGAUACCCCAGUAGC